CCCGCUCAGGAUGAACGCUGGCGGCGUGCCUAAUACAUGCAAGUCGAGCGAAUGGAUUAAGAGCUUGCUCUUAUGAAGUUAGCGGCGGACGGGUGAGUAACACGUGGGUAACCUGCCCAUAAGACUGGGAUAACUCCGGGAAACCGGGGCUAAUACCGGAUAACAUUUUGCACCGCAUGGUGCGAAAUUCAAAGGCGGCUUCGGCUGUCACUUAUGGAUGGACCCGCGUCGCAUUAGCUAGUUGGUGAGGUAACGGCUCACCAAGGCAACGAUGCGUAGCCGACCUGAGAGGGUGAUCGGCCACACUGGGACUGAGACACGGCCCAGACUCCUACGGGAGGCAGCAGUAGGGAAUCUUCCGCAAUGGACGAAAGUCUGACGGAGCAACGCCGCGUGAGUGAUGAAGGCUUUCGGGUCGUAAAACUCUGUUGUUAGGGAAGAACAAGUGCUAGUUGAAUAAGCUGGCACCUUGACGGUACCUAACCAGAAAGCCACGGCUAACUACGUGCCAGCAGCCGCGGUAAUACGUAGGUGGCAAGCGUUAUCCGGAAUUAUUGGGCGUAAAGCGCGCGCAGGUGGUUUCUUAAGUCUGAUGUGAAAGCCCACGGCUCAACCGUGGAGGGUCAUUGGAAACUGGGAGACUUGAGUGCAGAAGAGGAAAGUGGAAUUCCAUGUGUAGCGGUGAAAUGCGUAGAGAUAUGGAGGAACACCAGUGGCGAAGGCGACUUUCUGGUCUGUAACUA
This 743-nucleotide ribosomal RNA is filed under the name bacterium EAB-4I81.06. RNAcentral's name for it is "bacterial SSU rRNA". It matches the Rfam family "Bacterial small subunit ribosomal RNA", at positions 19 to 742 of the family's 1533-position model. The record is from RNAcentral.